RNAcentral lists this ribosomal RNA (482 nucleotides) under uncultured bacterium. RNAcentral's name for it is "partial 16S ribosomal RNA". It matches the Rfam family "Bacterial small subunit ribosomal RNA", at positions 28 to 523 of the family's 1533-position model. The record is from RNAcentral.
AGUGAACGUUGGCGGCGUGGAUUAGGCAUGCAAGUCGAGCGAGAACCGUAGCAAUACGGGGACAGCGGCGAAAGGGACAGUAAUGUGUAGGUACCUACCCCGAGGUCUGGAAUAGCUGCGGGAAACUGCAGGUAAUACCGGAUAAUGUCUUCGGACCAAAGGUGUGAUUCCACCUUGGGAGGGGCCUGCAUCCUAUUAGCUAGUUGGCGGGGUAAUGGCCCACCAAGGCGACGAUGGGUAGCGGGUGUGAGAGCACGACCCGCGUCAUUGGGACUGGGACACUGCCCAGACACCUACGGGUGGCUGCAGUCGAGGAUCUUCGGCAAUGGGCGAAAGCCUGACCGAGCGACGCCGCGUGCGGGAUGAAGGCCUUCGGGUUGUAAACCGCUGUCGUAGAGGAGGAAAUGCAGGUGGGUUCUCCCAUCUGUUUGACCUAUUCUAGGAGGAAGUACGGGCUAAGUUCGUGCCAGCCGCCGCCGCCG